This 590-nucleotide ribosomal RNA is filed under the name Staphylococcus epidermidis. RNAcentral's name for it is "bacterial SSU rRNA". It matches the Rfam family "Bacterial small subunit ribosomal RNA", at positions 944 to 1533 of the family's 1533-position model. Lineage: Bacteria; Bacillati; Bacillota; Bacilli; Caryophanales; Staphylococcaceae. The record is from RNAcentral.
GUUUAAUUCGAAGCAACGCGAAGAACCUUACCAAAUCUUGACAUCCUCUGACCCCUCUAGAGAUAGAGUUUUCCCCUUCGGGGGACAGAGUGACAGGUGGUGCAUGGUUGUCGUCAGCUCGUGUCGUGAGAUGUUGGGUUAAGUCCCGCAACGAGCGCAACCCUUAAGCUUAGUUGCCAUCAUUAAGUUGGGCACUCUAAGUUGACUGCCGGUGACAAACCGGAGGAAGGUGGGGAUGACGUCAAAUCAUCAUGCCCCUUAUGAUUUGGGCUACACACGUGCUACAAUGGACAAUACAAAGGGUAGCGAAACCGCGAGGUCAAGCAAAUCCCAUAAAGUUGUUCUCAGUUCGGAUUGUAGUCUGCAACUCGACUAUAUGAAGCUGGAAUCGCUAGUAAUCGUAGAUCAGCAUGCUACGGUGAAUACGUUCCCGGGUCUUGUACACACCGCCCGUCACACCACGAGAGUUUGUAACACCCGAAGCCGGUGGAGUAACCAUUUGGAGCUAGCCGUCGAAGGUGGGACAAAUGAUUGGGGUGAAGUCGUAACAAGGUAGCCGUAUCGGAAGGUGCGGCUGGAUCACCUCCUUU